RNAcentral lists this transfer RNA (72 nucleotides) under Phanerochaete sordida. Its description in RNAcentral is "tRNA-Pro". It matches the Rfam family "tRNA". Rfam says of the family: Transfer RNA (tRNA) molecules are approximately 80 nucleotides in length. The record is from RNAcentral. Lineage: Eukaryota; Fungi; Basidiomycota; Agaricomycetes; Polyporales; Phanerochaetaceae.
GGCUCAGUGGUCUAGUAGUAUGAUUCCUGCUUCGGGUGCAGGAGGCCCCGGGUUCAAUUCCCGGCUGAGCCC